AUGAUUCUCGACUUGGCAACACAUAUACUAAAAUUAGAAUAAUACAUAGAAGAUUAUCAUGGCCUCUGUGCAAGGAUGACACACACAUUUUUGACGUGUUUUAUAUAUAC
This is a small nuclear RNA of Microtus ochrogaster (prairie vole), 110 nucleotides long. NCBI's taxonomy places the organism in Eukaryota, Metazoa, Chordata, Mammalia, Rodentia, Cricetidae. The record is from Ensembl.